This 282-nucleotide ribosomal RNA is filed under the name uncultured methanogenic archaeon. RNAcentral describes it as "partial 16S ribosomal RNA". It matches the Rfam family "Archaeal small subunit ribosomal RNA", at positions 319 to 602 of the family's 1478-position model. Lineage: Archaea; Methanobacteriati; Methanobacteriota. The record is from RNAcentral.
UCCCUACGGGGCGCAGCAGGCGCGAAAACUUUACAAUGCGGGAAACCGUGAUAAGGGGACACCGAGUGCCAGCAUCAUAUGCUGGCUGUCCGGAUGUGUAAAAUACAUCCGUUAGCAAGGGCCGGGCAAGACCGGUGCCAGCCGCCGCGGUAACACCGGCGGCCCGAGUGGUGAUCGUGAUUAUUGGGUCUAAAGGGUCCGUAGCCGGUUUGGUCAGUCCUCCGGGAAAUCUGAUAGCUUAACUAUUAGGCUUUCGGGGGAUACUGCCAAACUUGGAACCGG